CAAUAGCGUAUAUUAAAGUUGUUGCAGUUAAAAAGCUCGUAGUUGGAUUUCGGGGCAGCCUGGCUGGUCCGCCGCAAGGCGAGUACUGGUCAGCCGCCCUUCCUCUCGAAAGCCCCGACUGCUCUUUAUUGCAGUGGUCGGGUAGUUCGGGACGUUUACUUUGAAAAAAUUAGAGUGUUCAAGGCAGGCCUACGCCUGAAUACAUUAGCAUGGAAUAAUGGAAGAGGACCUCGGUCCUAUUUUGUUGGUUUCCAGGACCGAAGCAAUGAUUAAGAGGGACAGUUGGGGGCAUUCGUAUUUAAUUGUCAGAGGUGAAAUUCUCGGAUUUAUGAAAGACGAACAACUGCGAAAGCAUUUGCCAAGGAUGUUUUCAUUAA
Molecule: ribosomal RNA, 377 nt
Filed under: uncultured eukaryote
Lineage: Eukaryota
Description: partial 18S ribosomal RNA
Rfam family: Eukaryotic small subunit ribosomal RNA
Source: RNAcentral